GUACACGCUGUGACUAGCAUAUCAAUAAGCGGAGGAAAAGAAACUAACAAGGAUUCCCCUAGUAACAGCGAGUGAAGCGGGAAGAGCUCAAAUUUGAAAUCUUAAAGGGUUUCCCUUUACGAAUUGUAGUUUAAAGAAGUGUUUUCUGUUGAGGUUUUGGUAAAAGUUCUUUGGAAUAGGACAUCAUAGAGGGUGAGAAUCCCGUAUUUGACCUUUACUUUCAACUUUGUGAUACACUUUCAAAGAGUCGGAUUGUUUGGGAAUGCAGUCCAAAAUGGGUGGUAAAUUUCAUCUAAAGCUAAAUAUUGGCGAGAGACCGAUAGCGAACAAGUACCGUGAGGGAAAGAUGAAAAGAACUUUGAAAAGAGAGUUAAACAGUACGUGAAAUUGUCAAAAGGGAAGCGUUUGACACCAGUGUUGUUUUUCUGAAAAUCAAUUAAAGAACUGUUUAUGCUAAGCUGUUUAGACUUUAUCAGCUAAUCUGUUUAGUUUUGAGCUUUUCUUUAAUGCACUUUUCAGUUAACAAGUCAACAUCAAUUUCUUUUGCUGUAAAAAAGCUUGAGGAAGGUGGCUUGAGAUUCGUCUUAAGUGUUUAUAGCCUCUUGCCUAUGCAGUCGGAGAGAUUGAGGUCUGCAGCGUAGAUCCUUCGGGGCUAAAUGCAUUUGUGCUAAGUUAUAGCAUUUUAUAGACAACUUGUUGACUAUGAUUUGUCUUGUAGCUUACUCGCUUAUGUUAUUUUACCUACGCUUAGGAUGUUGAAGAUGUAGCACAUCAU
RNAcentral lists this ribosomal RNA (775 nucleotides) under uncultured Neocallimastigales. Its description in RNAcentral is "partial large subunit ribosomal RNA". It matches the Rfam family "Eukaryotic large subunit ribosomal RNA", at positions 22 to 635 of the family's 3401-position model. The record is from RNAcentral. Lineage: Eukaryota; Fungi; Neocallimastigomycota; Neocallimastigomycetes; Neocallimastigales.